UACGGGGGGGGCAAGCGUUGUUCGGAAUUACUGGGCGUAAAGGGCUCGUAGGCGGCCAACUAAGUCGGACGUGAAAUCCCUCGGCUUAACCGGGGAACUGCGUCCGAUACUGGAUGGCUUGAGUUUGGGAGAGGGACGCGGAAUUCCAGGUGUAGCGGUGAAAUGCGUAGAUAUCUGGAGGAACACCGGUGGCGAAGGCGGCGUCCUGGACCAACACUGACACUGAGGAGCGAAAGCCAGGGGAGCAAACGGG
Molecule: ribosomal RNA, 253 nt
Filed under: uncultured bacterium
Lineage: Bacteria
Description: partial 16S ribosomal RNA
Rfam family: Bacterial small subunit ribosomal RNA
Source: RNAcentral